RNAcentral lists this ribosomal RNA (253 nucleotides) under uncultured bacterium. RNAcentral describes it as "partial 16S ribosomal RNA". It matches the Rfam family "Bacterial small subunit ribosomal RNA", at positions 524 to 776 of the family's 1533-position model. The record is from RNAcentral.
UACGUAGGGGACAAGCGUUGUCCGGAUUUACUGGGCGUAAAGAGCGCGCAGGCGGUCGAUCAAGUCGAGUGUGAAAGCCCCCGGCUCAACUGGGGAGGGUCAUUCGAUACUGAUCGACUCGAAGGCAGGAGAGGGUAGUGGAAUUCCCGGUGUAGUGGUGAAAUGCGUAGAUAUCGGGAGGAACACCAGUGGCGAAGGCGACUACCUGGCCUGUUCUUGACGCUGAGGCGCGAAAGCUAGGGGUGCAAACGGG